GACGAACGCUGGCGGCGUGCUUAACACAUGCAAGUCGAACGGAAAGGCCCUGCUUUUGUGGGGUGCUCGAGUGGCGAACGGGUGAGUAACACGUGAGUAACCUGCCCUUGACUUUGGGAUAACUUCAGGAAACUGGGGCUAAUACCGGAUAGGAGCUCCUGCUGCAUGGUGGGGGUUGGAAAGUUUCGGCGGUUGGGGAUGGACUCGCGGCUUAUCAGCUUGUUGGUGGGGUAGUGGCUUACCAAGGCUUUGACGGGUAGCCGGCCUGAGAGGGUGACCGGCCACAAUGGGACUGAGAGACGGCCCAGAAUGCUACGGGAGGCAGCAGUGGAGAAUAUUACAGAAUAGGCGGAAGCCUGAGACAGAAACGCCGCGUGCGGGAUAACGGACUUCGGGUUGUAAACCGAUUUCGCCUGUGACGAAGCGUGAGUGACGGUAAUGGGUAAAGAAGCACCGGCUAACUACGUG
Molecule: ribosomal RNA, 468 nt
Filed under: uncultured bacterium
Lineage: Bacteria
Description: partial 16S ribosomal RNA
Rfam family: Bacterial small subunit ribosomal RNA
Source: RNAcentral